GCCCCAUGGCUGUGAAUAGGUGCCUUCAGCUAAUUUUAUGAAAAGGGGCUCUUUCCAAGGCUAAGGUAGAGUAGGGCUUCCUGUAAGAGAGAGAGAGAGAGAGAGAGGGAGGGGAAAAAAAGUACUGCUCUUGAUGCAAUCUUUUCCUCCUCCUCCUCCUCCUCCUCCUCCUCUUCCUCCUCCUCUUCCUCUUUGCCAGCCCUCUGCCUCUCCCUGCCAGCUUCUGCACCGCAGGGGGAGCGGGGAAGGUAUAAAAGUCCCCCCCCCCCCGGCUUGGUUACCAUUGGUCGGCCCGUACUCAGCCUUUGACCAUCGGGCUGAGAGGCACGGGGUCAUCUCGCAGCCCUUCCCACCGCACCUCAGUGCAUCCCACCCCCCGUCCCACCCCCUGCUCUCCGGUUGGGCAAUGCGUGCUGAAGGGGGCACCCACGCGAAGGGUUGAGAUAAAGGAUUUAAAAGUGAUGAAGCCAACCCCCUCUCCCCCAUCCCCCCCAUCCACCCCAACACCGUCAGUCUGCCUCGCUGCCCCUCAUCCAUGCUGUUCCCAAAUUUAUGCCCCACAUAGGGAUUAAAAAUAUAUUUACUGGGGGAGGAGGGCUCAAAAAGGAGGUUCCUGAGAGGGAAUCCUGGGGGAAUCCUGGGGAAGGUAUUUCUACUUCUGCUGUUUUAUUUCAUUUUGUUUCAUUUUGAGGGGGCUGUUGGCUCACUUCUCUCCAAUCUGCUCAACCAAAGGGGUGGGACAGCCUCCAUCCCUGGUGGGAACUGAGCAAAUGUGUACCCAGGGCUCUAUAGUCUUUCUAAGAUGAAGGGGGGAAAGAAAAAAAAGAACUCUGCAAAGUUUCGUGGUCCCAUCACAUCUCUUCUGCUGUUUUUUAAUUUAUUAUUUUUAUUUGGGUGGGAAAGAGGGAAGAAGCAAUAGUUUUGCUCAUAUGUUGCAUUGCCCCCCACCUCCUGCUGUUACAGGAAGAUGAUGUAAAUAAAAGAGGAUCUGAUAUGGUUUAGGAGACAUCCAGACUUUGGUCACCCCUCUGUAACCAGAGCUGGAACUGGGCCAGGGAUGCCUUCAUGCUGGUAAUUUCUCCAUCCAAUCAUUUAAUGAUUAAAGGCAGAUACUGCUGAAGCUGUGCAAGAAGGAAACUGUUCCUUCCCUCCAGCCCCAGCUCAAAGUUGGCCCAGCAGAACCCCAAUCUUAUGGCCACCAAGACUCUGAUGGAUGUUCUUCUGGAUCCCUGUUAUCUACAAGAAAAGUAAAUCCAAUACAAUAGGAUUCCAUAAAUCCAAUUACAGCAGUCUGCUUCGUUGCUCUUUUCUGGGAGGAUAGGAGUUGCAAGGGCUGCAGGUCUUUGGAGUCAUGAGCAUCAAACGUAGCUCUAAAGAGGAGUUUCCUCAAUUAGAGGAUGUAACCCAGCUCCCAUGGCUCUGUGCAAGAUAGGAGUGAGGACACAUGAGGUGAGCAGAGCAGGCUUGUGGGAGCUGAGCAGUUGGACUGUAUGGCUGAGGUCCCUCUAAAGUCACAGUGAAUCACACAAUCAUAGAAUCAUUAAGGUUUGGAAAAGACCUCUGAGGUCACCAACCCCAACCCAGCCCACCAUACCCACUGCCCACAUCCCUCAGUGCCACAUCUCCAUGGUUCUGGAACACCUCCAGGGAUGGUGACACCACCACCUCCCUGGGCAGCCUGCGCCAAUGCAUCGCCAUUUGGAGAACGAAUGCUUCCUAACAUCCAACCUGAACCUCUCCUGGCACACCUUAAGGCCUAAACCACGGUUGGAGCUCCUUCUCACUCAGAAGAGAACACGUGAGAAUUUCCCAAUCUGCAUCAUCCCAGCACUUCUCUUCCCAAGCAAACUGCCCACUUCUUUCCCCACAUGAAAAGGGUCUCUCUUUCUCAGCCUGACUCAUUGGGUGCUGAGGAUCAGGCCCUCUGCUUUUAGGUCCUACCACCACUGGAAAUUCUGACUCCCAGGAAGAUGCUUUUAUCAUCUCUAUUCAUCCCCAGACAUUGUGUAUUCUCUCAGCCAAGGUUACAAGGCAACUCUUCCCCUCUCUGCAAACCUCUGAGAGAGAGAUGAGCUCUUCUGCAUGUCCAGAUGCCUGCUGUUGUUUGUCUGGUCUCUUCCCACUGGAGGGCACAGGACUCCAUUCUCCUGCAGAUCUGUUCCAGGCAUCUUUUUUAUGUCAAGGCAAAGGUUCAGUGAAACAUCACGACUUGCAUCAGCCAAAGCCUUUGAUCAGGGAGGGAAAGGUCUGACAUGGAUGGGGUUGACAGCCACACUGCAAAAAUCCCUCAUUGUGCAAGAGGCCAGUCCAAUGACCGUGUGUCACCAAGGUGCACGGCCAGAACCAAGGGCAAACUCCAGUUGGGAGGUGAGCAAGGAAAACCCCUCCAAAACAGCCAGGAGCUAAAAAGAUUUGGCAAGCUUUGCAGGAGAAAACUGCCAGCAGGGAAAGACGAGGUGGGAGCAUUACUCCCGACAGAAGAAGCUCUGAUUAGCAGAUUAUCACUUAAGUGAUGUUGAUCCCAGCCACACUGCCUUCCAAAUGAGCCCUUUCACAGCUGCCAGCUGUGCCACGGAAUCGUGAAUGUAAAUGAGUGGGCCAGAUCCUCUGCUGGCAUCCAUGGAGGCAGCUUUGAUGGACCGUCCUGGAUCCACAACAGCUGGAGGAGUCUGGCUGUAGCAGGAGCCCGACUUGCUCUGCAGAUUUCUUUGAGAGCCUGUGGGAAAGGGCCUGAAGCUGGGCGAGCUGCAGGAUAGGGCAGCAUCAACUGCACAUCUGGAGGGACCCUCGAGUCUCUGACUUUUGCUGCCAGACAAAGCCUUCUUUACUGGAGCAAUCAGCCCCACCUGAUGCCAGGCAGGGUGUAAAGCAGGAUGUCGGAAGCUGGAGCCUCCUUAUCGAUAGCCUUGCUGAACUUGUAACCUGUUCCCUGGUACCAUAUGCCAGCACGUAUCAUCUUGCCCUCAUAAAGCUUUGUUUAUCUCCAUCCACCUUGUUGGGCUGAGCGUGUGGGAAGCAUGUGAGGGACUCUCAUGAGCAGCCUCGCGUUCUCCGAGCUGUUUUUCCCCUGGGGGUGAGCUUUCCCCAAAGUGCACAGUCCAUUUCACUCAGAGGUGAUGGCCUGAAACCUGCAGAGCUGGUGGUGAGAGGGGAACAAGCUUUCUUUGUGAGGCUGCUCCAGCUUGCUGGGUGUGCUGGGUGCACUGAAUGAAAUCUUUCAUUUGGUUCCUCAGAGAGUACAGGAAGAUCCUCAGCUUUUGUCCUGAAUGGGAUUGUAGCCCAGACCAGGGAAAGGUCACAAAUACCAUGCCCUGGUAGUGCUGAGGUUAUUGGAUUGAACCUUGCUUUGUUAGUGUAACCAUGUUGUGGACUUGGACUUUCAGCCAAGGAAAGAGGGUGCUGAAAAGGUGAGAUCAAAAGGAGGAGAUGGAUCUGUAAAAAUGGUGAUGAGAGUAAUGGAGAAUGGUUAUUGAGUGCACCUCGUAAUAAAGACAUUGGGAACACAAGACUGAAAUUUCUGGGACAGGUGAAGCACAAACAAGAAGAGGUGUUUUUUUAUAAUGGUUGUUCCAUGAGUAAUGCCUCCUAUUUUAUUAUGUUGACCCACAAUGUCAGAGGUGGAUGUUGGUAAUAUGGCAGUAGAGGUUGAACC
This is a non-coding RNA of Meleagris gallopavo (turkey), 3652 nucleotides long. The record is from RefSeq and is a predicted model, not a curated record. NCBI's taxonomy places the organism in Eukaryota, Metazoa, Chordata, Aves, Galliformes, Phasianidae.